Molecule: ribosomal RNA, 253 nt
Filed under: uncultured bacterium
Lineage: Bacteria
Description: partial 16S ribosomal RNA
Rfam family: Bacterial small subunit ribosomal RNA
Source: RNAcentral
UACGGUGGGUGCAAGCGUUACUCGGACUCACUGGGCGUAAAAGGCGCGUAGGCGGCCUAGCAAGUCUGGUGUGAAAGCCCAGGGCUCAACCCUGGAAGGGCACUGGAAACUGUUAGGCUUGAGGUCCGGAGAGGAGGGGGGAAUUCCCGGUGUAGCGGUGAAAUGCGUAGAUAUCGGGAGGAAUACCGGUGGCGAAGGCGCCCCUCUGGACGGAAACUGACGCUGAGGCGCGAAAGCGUGGGGAGCAAACAGG